RNAcentral lists this ribosomal RNA (437 nucleotides) under uncultured bacterium. RNAcentral describes it as "bacterial SSU rRNA". It matches the Rfam family "Bacterial small subunit ribosomal RNA", at positions 8 to 490 of the family's 1533-position model. The record is from RNAcentral.
AGAGUGUUGAUCCUGGCUCAGAACGAACGCUGGCGGCAGGCUUAACACAUGCAAGUCGAGCGCCCCGCAAGGGGAGCGGCAGACGGGUGAGUAACGCGUGGGAAUCUACCCAUCUCUACGGAACAACUCCGGGAAACUGGAGCUAAUACCGUAUACGGUCCUUCGGGAGAAAGAUUUAUCGGAGAUGGAUGAGCCCGCGUUGGAAUUAGCUAGUUGGUGAGGUAAUGGCUCACCAAGGCUCCGAUCCUUAGCUGUUCUGAGAGGAAGAUCAGCCACACUGGGACUGAGACACGGCCCAGACUCCUACGGGAGGCAGCAGUUGGGAAUCUUGGACAAUGGGGGAAACCCUGAUCCAGCCAUGCCGCGUGAGUGAUGAAGGCCUUCGGGUUGUAAAACUCUUUCGACGGGGACGAUAAUGACGGUACCCGUAGAAGAAG